RNAcentral lists this long non-coding RNA (780 nucleotides) under Brassica rapa (field mustard). Its description in RNAcentral is "long non-coding RNA (BRAP_LNC006576)". Lineage: Eukaryota; Viridiplantae; Streptophyta; Magnoliopsida; Brassicales; Brassicaceae. The record is from RNAcentral.
UUGGCAAUAAUGUCACAUGUCAUCUUUUUUUUUCGCUGAUGUGGACGCUCUAUGGAGUCUCAAAAUAUUACUUAUUAUAUUUCCAUGCUUUUAUAUGAGAUAAUAAUAUUAUCAUAUAUGUUUAAUGUAAUAUUGAUAUUUCUUAUAUUGUAUGCUUGUUUUGUUAUAUUUUAUAUUUAUUAUUAUUAUUUUUAUGUAGUAUAAUUACUUAUUCUAAUUGUUUUGAUUUUAUAUCAAAAUUGUAAUAUUACGAUAGAUGUUGAAUGUAAUAUUUAUAUUUCUCAUAUUGUAUAUUUACUUAUUAUUUAUUUUAUCAUAUAUUUUCAGAUUAAUUUUAAUGUAGUUUUUCUAUUUUUAUAUGUGUGUAUUUACUUAUUAAUUAAUUUUCCUUAUAUGUAUACUUAAUUUUAAUUAUUUUUUAUUUAUAUGGUAAUAAUGGCACAUGUCAUCUUUCGAAGAAGUUUUUUGCUGUUGUGAAAAUUUUCUGAAAGCACAAUAAAUUCAUCUAACCUACAUGACAAAACGUGAUCUUUAAUUAUGGAGUAUAUCAUGACAAUGAAAUCUAUUCGUAUUCGUAUUUUUGUCAAAAAAAAAAAAGAAAAGAAAUCUAUUCGUAUUAUAUCUAAGAUUACUAAAACUAUUCAAGUUAAUAUUAUUAUGGCAAGUAUCAGUUAUAAAAAGAUAUGCUGCGAUUUUUUAUCAAAUAAUUCUUAUCUUUACUUAAAAACUAAUAAAUAAAAUUAAUAUAAUUUUAUUCGGAUACAAAAAUAUUUAACGAAA